RNAcentral lists this small nuclear RNA (91 nucleotides) under Castor canadensis (American beaver). The record is from RNAcentral. Lineage: Eukaryota; Metazoa; Chordata; Mammalia; Rodentia; Castoridae.
AUGCCCACCUUAGCAGCAUAUAUACUAAAAUUGGAACACUACAGAGAUUAGCAAGGAUGACACGAAAAUUUGUGAGGCAUUCCAUAUUUAA